GUACAUGUAUAUUCGGCGGCUGCAUCAUGACACAGCCAAUAAAGCUUAAACUAUUUACGUUUCAAAAAGAGCUUAGUGAUGGUUUCGAAAUCAUUGUAAUUUAUAGCCAACAAAAUCUUUCAUCUACCUCGUGCUCAAAUUGAUUACAUUUCAGGUGAGUUGCAAUUUUUCAUUGCAGGUCACAUCACUUAUGUGCAUUGUAUAGGAUAGAGAAAAUGCGGAGAAAUCCGACAUGGUAGCAACACAUCCAGAAGUGAGUCAUCCACCUCUGACAUAGUAGACAUGACUGAUGAACAGGUCAUCUCAUGCAUAUGCAAUACACUACAGCUUCUUGAAACAGCAGGAGCUGCAGAACUUUUGAACAGAGUAAAAGCCAGCAAAUCAAAUUCUUUCUUGUUUGUAUUUCAGAGUCACAAUGAUUCAGAUUCUUGAACAAACAUCUGUUUUGAUCAAGAGUUGCCAAUGCAACUGUCUUUGAUCACAAAUCUCAAUGACUCUUUUCUCUGAUUCUGUAAGAGAUGGUUGUAGGUAUAAUUAUGAGAGU
Molecule: small RNA, 544 nt
Filed under: Histoplasma ohiense
Lineage: Eukaryota; Fungi; Ascomycota; Eurotiomycetes; Onygenales; Ajellomycetaceae
Description: hypothetical lncRNA
Source: RNAcentral